UAACAAGGUCUCCGUUGGUGAACCAGCGGAGGGAUCAUUACCAGAGUGCCCUAGGCUCUCCAACCCAUUGUGAACUUACCAAACGUUCCCUCGGCGGGCUCAGCGCGCGGUGGCCUCCGGGCCUCCGGGCGUCCGCCGGGGAAAACCAAACCCUGAUUUAAUCGUAUUUCUCUGAGGGGCGAAAGCCCGAAAACAAAAUGAAUCAAAACUUUCAACAACGGAUCUCUUGGCUCUGGCAUCGAUGAAGAACGCAGCGAAAUGCGAUAAGUAAUGUGAAUUGCAGAAUUCAGUGAAUCAUCGAAUCUUUGAACGCACAUUGCGCCCGCCGGCACUCCGGCGGGCAUGCCUGUCCGAGCGUCAUUUCAACCCUCAGGCCCACCCUUCCGGGGGAGCGGGCCUGGUUCUGGGGAUCGGCGGCCCUCGCGGCCCCCGUCCCUCAAAUUCAGUGGCGGUCGCGCCGCAGCCUCCCCUGCGUAGUAGCACAACCUCGCACCGGAGAGCGGAACGACCACGCCGUAAAACACCCAAUUUUUUAAGGUUGACCUCGGAUCAGGUAGGAAUACCCGCUGAACUUAAGCAUAUCAAUAA
RNAcentral lists this ribosomal RNA (588 nucleotides) under fungal sp. KF-1. RNAcentral describes it as "eukaryotic LSU rRNA". The stretch from base 207 to 360 matches the Rfam family "5.8S ribosomal RNA". The record is from RNAcentral. Lineage: Eukaryota; Fungi.